CCUACGGGUGGCAGCAGUGGGGAAUUUUGGACAAUGGGCGCAAGCCUGAUCCAGCAAUGCCGCGUGAGUGAAGAAGGCCUUCGGGUUGUAAAGCUCUUUUGUCAGGGAAGAAACGGCUGAGGAUAAUACCUUCGGCUAAUGACGGUACCUGAAGAAUAAGCACCGGCUAACUACGUGCCAGCAGCCGCGGUAAUACGUAGGGUGCAAGCGUUAAUCGGAAUUACUGGGGGUAAAGCUGGCGCAGGCGGGUGAAAUCCCCGGGCUCAACCUGGGAAUUGCGUUGGAGACUGCAAGGCUGGAGUCUGGCAGAGGGGGGUAGAAUUCCACGUGUAGCAGUGAAAUGCGUAGAGAUGUGGAGGAACACCGAUGGCGAAGGCAGCCCCCUGGGUCAAGACUGACGCUCAUGCACGAAAGCGUGGGGAGCAAACAGGAUUAGAUACCCCUGUAGUC
This 450-nucleotide ribosomal RNA is filed under the name uncultured bacterium. RNAcentral's name for it is "partial 16S ribosomal RNA". It matches the Rfam family "Bacterial small subunit ribosomal RNA", at positions 338 to 795 of the family's 1533-position model. The record is from RNAcentral.